Molecule: ribosomal RNA, 656 nt
Filed under: Bacillus sp. C114
Lineage: Bacteria; Bacillati; Bacillota; Bacilli; Caryophanales; Bacillaceae
Description: bacterial SSU rRNA
Rfam family: Bacterial small subunit ribosomal RNA
Source: RNAcentral
GGAAUGGAUUAAGAGCUUGCUCUUAUGAAGUUAGCGGCGGACGGGUGAGUAACACGUGGGUAACCUGCCCAUAAGACUGGGAUAACUCCGGGAAACCGGGGCUAAUACCGGAUAACAUUUUGAACCGCAUGGUUCGAAAUUGAAAGGGGGCUUCGGCUGUCACUUAUGGAUGGACCCGCGUCGCAUUAGCUAGUUGGGGAGGUAACGGCUCACCAAGGCAACGAUGCGUAGCCGACCUGAGAGGGUGAUCGGCCACACUGGGACUGAGACACGGCCCAGACUCCUACGGGAGGCAGCAGUAGGGAAUCUUCCGCAAUGGACGAAAGUCUGACGGAGCAACGCCGCGUGAGUGAUGAAGGCUUUCGGGUCGUAAAACUCUGUUGUUAGGGAAGAACAAGUGCUAGUUGAAUAAGCUGGCACCUUGACGGUACCUAACCAGAAAGCCACGGCUAACUACGUGCCAGCAGCCGCGGUAAUACGUAGGUGGCAAGCGUUAUCCGGAAUUAUUGGGCGUAAAGCGCGCGCAGGUGGUUUCUUAAGUCUGAUGUGAAAGCCCACGGCUCAACCGUGGAGGGUCAUUGGAAACUGGGAGACUUGAGUGCAGAAGAGGAAAGUGGAAUUCCAUGUGUAGCGGUGAAAUGCGUAGAGAUAUGGAG